CUUGAGCGAGCCCAGCCACAAAGGCACGUCCCGGUCCUGGCCGUAGGUCGCCAGCAGGGCCUGCGCUUC
RNAcentral lists this antisense RNA (69 nucleotides) under Lentzea waywayandensis. RNAcentral's name for it is "ASpks TB sRNA". It matches the Rfam family "ASpks TB sRNA". Lineage: Bacteria; Bacillati; Actinomycetota; Actinomycetes; Pseudonocardiales; Pseudonocardiaceae. The record is from RNAcentral.